Molecule: ribosomal RNA, 433 nt
Filed under: uncultured Oscillospiraceae bacterium
Lineage: Bacteria; Bacillati; Bacillota; Clostridia; Eubacteriales; Oscillospiraceae
Description: bacterial SSU rRNA
Rfam family: Bacterial small subunit ribosomal RNA
Source: RNAcentral
ACGGGAGGCAGCAGUGGGGGAUAUUGCACAAUGGGCGAAAGCCUGAUGCAGCGACGCCGCGUGAGGGAAGACGGUUUUCGGAUUGUAAACCUCUGUCUUCGGGGACGAAAAUGACGGUACCCGAGGAGGAAGCCACGGCUAACUACGUGCCAGCAGCCGCGGUAAUACGUAGGUGGCAAGCGUUGUCCGGAAUUACUGGGUGUAACGGGAGAGUAGGCGGGAUUGCAAGUCCGUUGUUAAAUCUAUCGGCUCAACCGAUAGCUGCGGCGGAAACUGUAGUUCUUGAGUGAAGUAGAGGCAGGCGGAAUUCCUAGUGUAGCGGUGAAAUGCGUAGAUAUUAGGAGGAACACCAGUGGCGAAGGCGGCCUGCUGGGCUUUAACUGACGCUGAGGCUCGAAAGUGUGGGGAGCAAACAGGAUUAGAUACCCUGGUA